This 497-nucleotide ribosomal RNA is filed under the name uncultured bacterium. RNAcentral's name for it is "partial 16S ribosomal RNA". It matches the Rfam family "Bacterial small subunit ribosomal RNA", at positions 28 to 507 of the family's 1533-position model. The record is from RNAcentral.
GACGAACGCUGGCGGCGUGCCUAACACAUGCAAGUCGAACGAACAGGCGCGGAGCUUGCUCCUCUGACGUUAGCGGCGAACGGGUGAGUAACACGUGGGUAACCUACCUAUAAGACUGGGAUAACUUCGGGAAACGGGAGCUAAUACCGGAUAAUAUCUUGAACUGCCAGGUUGGUUAGUGAAAGACGGUGUUGCUGUCACUUAUAGAUGCAUCCGCGCCCCACUAGCUAGUUGGGUAGGUACCGGCUUACCAAGGCGCCAAUGCUUAGCCGACCUGAGUGGUGGAUGGGCGACACGAGACCUUAGGCACGGGCCAGAGCCCGAAGAGCGGCAGCAGUCGGGAAUGGGCCGCAAUGGGCAAAAGCCGAACGGAGGAACGAGGGGCGAGUGGUGAAGGUCUUCGGAUCGUGAAACUCUGUUAUUAGGGACGAACAAAUGUGUAAGUAACGAUGCAAGUCGUGACGGUAGCUGGUCAGAAAGCCACGGCUAACUACGUG